RNAcentral lists this ribosomal RNA (468 nucleotides) under uncultured bacterium. RNAcentral's name for it is "partial 16S ribosomal RNA". It matches the Rfam family "Bacterial small subunit ribosomal RNA", at positions 28 to 507 of the family's 1533-position model. The record is from RNAcentral.
GAUGAACGCUGGCGGCGUGCUUAACACAUGCAAGUCGAACGGUGAAGGCGGAGCUUGCUCUGCUGGAUCAGUGGCGAACGGGUGAGUAACACGUGAGCAAUCUGCCCCUGACUCUGGGAUAAGCGCUGGAAACGGCGUCUAAUACUGGAUACGAGCUGCGAAGGCAUCUUCAGCAGCUGGAAAGAAUUUCGGUCAGGGAUGAGCUCGCGGCCUAUCAGCUUGUUGGUGAGGUAAUGGCUCACCAAGGCUUCGACGGGUAGCCGGCCUUAGAGGGUGGCCGGCCACACUGGGACUGCGAGACGGCCCAGACUCCUACGGGAGGCAGCGGUGGGGAAUAUUGCAGAGUGGGCGAAAGCCUGAUGCAGCAACGCCGCGUGAGGAACGACGGCCUAUGGGUUAUAAACCUCUUUUAGCAGGGAAGAAGCGAAAGUGACGGUACCUGCAGAAAAAGCGCCGGCUAACUACGUG